Molecule: ribosomal RNA, 451 nt
Filed under: uncultured bacterium
Lineage: Bacteria
Description: bacterial SSU rRNA
Rfam family: Bacterial small subunit ribosomal RNA
Source: RNAcentral
AUGAACGCUGGCGGCGUGCUUAACACAUGCAAGUCGAACGGGCCAUAUUCGUAUGGUUAGUGGCAGACGGGUGCGUAACACGUAGGUGACCUGCCUCGGAGUGGGGAACAACUCCGCGAAAGCGGAGCUAAUACCGCAUAGGCUCGGCGAGUCGAAUCGCAGAGUAAAGGCGCAAGUUGCUUCGAGAUGGGCCUGCGGCGGAUUAGCUAGUUGGUGGGGUAACGGCCUACCAAGGCGAUGAUCCGUAGGGGGCGUGAGAGCGUGGCCCCCCACAUUGGCACUGAGACACGGGCCAAACUCCUACGGGAGGCAGCAGUGAGGAAUAUUGCGCAAUGGGCGAAAGCCUGACGCAGCAACGCCGCGUGAGGGACGAAGGCCUUCGGGUCGUAAACCUCUUUUCUGGGGAAAGAGCAAGGACGGUACCUCAGGAAUAAGUCUCGGCUAACUACGU